GGAAGUGCAUGAGGCCCGGUGGCCUCCCCGGUCUUCAAAACCGUGUGUCGGGCGGUAUCCCCGUCCGAGGUGGGUUCGACUCCCAUGCACUUCCGCCA
Molecule: transfer RNA, 98 nt
Filed under: Acidobacteriota bacterium
Lineage: Bacteria; Pseudomonadati; Acidobacteriota
Description: tRNA-Sec
Rfam family: Selenocysteine transfer RNA
Source: RNAcentral